Molecule: ribosomal RNA, 451 nt
Filed under: uncultured soil bacterium
Lineage: Bacteria
Description: partial 16S ribosomal RNA
Source: RNAcentral
GAAUUCGAUUCGGUGUGACAAGGCCCGGGAACGUAUUCACCGCGGCGUGCUGAUCCGCGAUUACUAGCGAUUCCAACUUCAUGGAGUCGAGUUGCAGACUCCAAUCCGAACUGAGAGCGGCUUUUUGGGAUUAGCUCCCCCUCGCGGGUUUGCGACCCUUUGUACCGCCCAUUGUAGCACGUGUGUGGCCCUGGACAUAAGGGCCAUGAUGACUUGACGUCGUCCCCACCUUCCUCCGGCUUAACGCCGGCAGUCUCCUUAGAGUGCCCAACUGAAUGGUGGCAACUAAGGACGAGGGUUGCGCUCGUUGCGGGACUUAACCCAACACCUCACGGCACGAGCUGACGACAGCCAUGCAGCACCUGAACCGGCAGUCCCCGAAGGGAAGAUCCUAUUUCUAGGACGGUCCGCCGUUGUCUAGCCCAGGUAAGGUUCUUCGCGUUAAUCACUA